This 431-nucleotide ribosomal RNA is filed under the name uncultured bacterium. RNAcentral's name for it is "bacterial SSU rRNA". It matches the Rfam family "Bacterial small subunit ribosomal RNA", at positions 29 to 507 of the family's 1533-position model. The record is from RNAcentral.
AACGAACGCUGGCGGCAGGCUUAACACAUGCAAGUCGAGCGCCCCGCAAGGGGAGCGGCAGACGGGUGAGUAACGCGUGGGAACGUACCCUUCUCUACGGAAUAACACAGAGAAAUUUGUGCUAAUACCGUAUACGCCCUUUGGGGGAAAGAUUUAUCGGAGAAGGAUCGGCCCGCGUAGGAUUAGCUAGUUGGUGUGGUAACGGCGCACCAAGGCGACGAUCCUUAGCUGGUCUGAGAGGAUGACCAGCCACACUGGGACUGAGACACGGCCCAGACUCCUACGGGAGGCAGCAGUGGGGAAUAUUGGACAAUGGGCGCAAGCCUGAUCCAGCCAUGCCGCGUGAGUGAUGAAGGCCUUAGGGUUGUAAAGCUCUUUCACCCACGACGAUAAUGACGGUAGUGGGAGAAGAAGCCCCGGCUAACUUCGUG